This 230-nucleotide long non-coding RNA is filed under the name Zostera marina. RNAcentral describes it as "long non-coding RNA (ZMAR_LNC004595)". The record is from RNAcentral. Lineage: Eukaryota; Viridiplantae; Streptophyta; Magnoliopsida; Alismatales; Zosteraceae.
GAAAAGUUCCCAGGCGGACGUCCGUUUGAAACGGACACUCUUUCGACGAUGGACGGAUCUCCAUCCGUCGGUCCGUAACUGCCGCUCGACCGUUCCAACCGGAUGGGUUCACGAUGUGUUCUGUUUCACCGCCACCGGAUGGGUUCACGAUGGGCCACCGUUCCAACACCGCAGAACCACCGGAUGGGUUCACGAUGUGUUCUGUUUCACCGCCACCGGAUGGGUUCACG